AGCUUUGUGCAGUGACAGUAUCGUAGCCAAGAAGGUUUAUCCGAGGUGCGAUUAUUGCUGAUUAAAUCAAAGAUCUGAUCAAGAAUUGAGCCUUGGAUUCUGGUGCCAUGUGGGUCAGACAGAAUUGAAACAAAUGGCUGGAAACUUCUUGCCCACUUGGGAACUGCAGAGG
Marmota marmota marmota (Alpine marmot) is the source of this 172-nucleotide small nuclear RNA. Its record names the gene U4. It matches the Rfam family "U4 spliceosomal RNA". From Rfam's summary of the family: U4 small nuclear RNA (U4 snRNA) is a component of the major U2-dependent spliceosome. The structure of U4 snRNA from yeast and human has been reported. NCBI's taxonomy places the organism in Eukaryota, Metazoa, Chordata, Mammalia, Rodentia, Sciuridae. The record is from Ensembl.